UGGGGAAUUUUGCACAAUGGGCGCAAGCCUGAUGCAGCGACGCCGCGUGAGGGAUGAAGGCCUUCGGGUUGUAAACCUUUUUCGCUCAUGGUCAAGCCGCAGCUUUGGGUUGUGGUGAGGGUAGUGGGUAAAGAAGCGCCGGCUAACUACGUGCCAGCAGCCGCGGUAAUACGUAGGGCGCGAGCGUUGCCCGGAAUUAUUGGGCGUAAAGGGCUUGUAGGCGGUUGGCCGCGUCUGCCGUGAAAUCCUCUGGCUUAACUGGGGGCGUGCAGUGGGUACGGGUUGACUUGAGUGCGGUAGGGGAGACUGGAAUUCCUGGUGUAGCGGUGGAAUGCGCAGAAAUCAGGAGGAACACCGGUGGCGAAGGCGGGUCUCUGGGCCGUUACGGACGCUAAGGAGCGAAAGCGUGGAGAGCGAACAGG
RNAcentral lists this ribosomal RNA (422 nucleotides) under Verrucomicrobiota bacterium. Its description in RNAcentral is "Verrucomicrobia bacterium partial 16S ribosomal RNA". It matches the Rfam family "Bacterial small subunit ribosomal RNA", at positions 355 to 776 of the family's 1533-position model. The record is from RNAcentral. Lineage: Bacteria; Pseudomonadati; Verrucomicrobiota.